UGGGGUGACUGCGUACCUUUUGUAUAAUGGGUCAGCGACUUAUAUUCUGUAGCAAGGUUAACCGAAUAGGGGAGCCGGAGGGAAACCGAGUCUUAACCGGGCGUUAAGUUGCAGGGUAUAGACCCGAAACCCGGUGAUCUAGCCAUGGGCAGGUUGAAGGUUGGGUAACACUAACUGGAGGACCGAACCGACUAAUGUUGAAAAAUUAGCGGAUGACCUGUGGCUGGGGGUGAAAGGCCAAUCAAACCGGGAGAUAGCUGGUUCUCCCCGAAAGCUAUUUAGGUAGCGCCUCGUGAAUUCAUCUCCGGGGGUAGAGCACUGUUUCGGCUAGGGGGCCAUCCCGGCUUACCAACCCGAUGCAAACUGCGAAUACCGGAGAAUGUUAUCACGGGAGACACACGGCGGGUGCUAACGUCCGUCGUGAAGAGGGAAACAACCCAGACCGCCAGCUAAGGUCCCAAAGUCAUGGUUAAGUGGGAAACGAUGUGGGAAGGCCCAGACAGCCAGGAUGUUGGCUUAGAAGCAGCCAUCAUUUAAAGAAAGCGUAAUAGCUCACUGGUCGAGUCGGCCUGCGCGGAAGAUGUAACGGGGCUAAACCAUGCACCGAAGCUGCGGCAGCGACACUCAGGUGUUGUUGGGUAGGGGAGCGUUCUGUAAGCCUG
RNAcentral lists this ribosomal RNA (662 nucleotides) under Salmonella enterica. RNAcentral's name for it is "partial 23S ribosomal RNA". It matches the Rfam family "Bacterial large subunit ribosomal RNA", at positions 589 to 1251 of the family's 2925-position model. Lineage: Bacteria; Pseudomonadati; Pseudomonadota; Gammaproteobacteria; Enterobacterales; Enterobacteriaceae. The record is from RNAcentral.